GAUGAAGAACGCAGUGAAAUGCGAUAAGUAAUGCGAAUUGCAGAAUUUCCGUGAGUCAUCGAAUCUUUGAACGCACAUUGCGCCCCCUGGUAUUCCGGGGGGCAUGCCUGUCCGAGCGUCAUUGCUGCCCUCAAGCACGGCUUGUGUGUUGGGCCUCCGUCCUCCUCCCGGGGGACGGGCCCGAAAGGCAGCGGCGGCACCGCGUCCGGUCCUCGAGCGUAUGGGGCUUCGUCACCCGCUCUUGUAGGCCCGGUCGGCGCUUGCCGACACAUCAAUCUUUUUUCCAGGUUGACCUCGGAUCAGGUAGGGAUACCCGCUGAACUUAAGCAUAUCAAUAAGCGGAGGA
This 346-nucleotide unclassified non-coding RNA is filed under the name soil metagenome. RNAcentral describes it as "partial contains 5.8S ribosomal RNA, internal transcribed spacer 2, and large subunit ribosomal RNA". The stretch from base 1 to 121 matches the Rfam family "5.8S ribosomal RNA", at positions 35 to 154 of the family's 154-position model. The record is from RNAcentral.